Molecule: ribosomal RNA, 254 nt
Filed under: uncultured bacterium
Lineage: Bacteria
Description: partial 16S ribosomal RNA
Rfam family: Bacterial small subunit ribosomal RNA
Source: RNAcentral
UACGUAGGGUGCGAGCGUUAAUCGGAAUUACUGGGCGUAAAGUGUGCGCAGGCGGCGCCGCAAGUCGAGUGUGAAAGCCCCGGGCUUAACUUGGGAAUUGCGCUCGAAACUAUGGUGCUGGAGUGUGGCAGAGGAAGGUGGAAUUCCGACGUGUAGCGGUGAAAUGCGUAGAGAUGUGGAGGAACACCGAUGGCGAAGGCAGCCUUCUGGGCCAACACUGACGCUCAUGCACGAAAGCGUGGGGAGCAAACAGG